UUCGGGACGCUGGCGAGUGGCGAACGGGUGCGUAACGCGUGGAAACCUGCCCCGAGGUGUGGGACAACAGUUGGAAACGACUGCUAAUACCGCAUAAGCCUUACGAGGGAAAGGCGCAAGUCGCCUUGGGAGGGGUCCGCGUCGGAUUAGCUAGUUGGUGGGGUAAAGGCCUACCAAGGCGAUGAUCCGUAGCUGGUCUGGGAGGAUGAUCAGCCACACUGGGACUGAGACACGGCCCAGACUCCUACGGGAGGCAGCAGUGGGGAAUAUUGCGCAAUGGGAGAAAUCCUGACGCAGCGAUACCGCGUGGGUGAAGAAGGUCUUCGGAUUGUAAAGCCCUUUCAGCAGGAAAGAUGAUGACGGUACCUGCAGAAGAAGCCCCGGCUAACUCCGUGCCAGCAGCCGCGGUAAUACGGAGGGGGCGAGCGUUGUUCGGAAUGACUGGGCGUAAAGGGCGCGUAGGCUGCUCUGCAAG
Molecule: ribosomal RNA, 475 nt
Filed under: uncultured Magnetococcus sp.
Lineage: Bacteria; Pseudomonadati; Pseudomonadota; Magnetococcia; Magnetococcales; Magnetococcaceae
Description: bacterial SSU rRNA
Rfam family: Bacterial small subunit ribosomal RNA
Source: RNAcentral